CAGUUCAGUUGCUCACUGAUAUUGGUGAAAUGACAACUAUAGAGACCAGUCUUCUGAAGAGAUGCCAAGAAAGCUUCCUAGACGUUUGGGUUCUCUACCCCGCCAUCCUCCUCCUGUUCUUCCUUCCUCUUAUUGUUCAAGUUCUCUACAUUUUGUGCCUACUCAGCCUUCCGCCUAUCGACAAGCCACACAGAUCAAUUCCAAUUCUGUUUUCUGGACUACUCAUUUCCCUUCUAUGAAGCAUACAGCCAUCUACUCCACUUUAACAGCCUGCUCACCCACCUUUUUCUCUGUUGCCAAAAGUUCCACUAAGUGUCCUGCUCUGAUUUCUCAUACUUCCUUUAAUGACAACUUUCCUUCCACUCCUCCUAACAGCCCUGUUGAAUCAUUCCCUAUUCUGUCAUACCCAGAAAGAAGGUACCUGCUGUCUGCCAGACAGAAUAAGACACAUUUUGAUCCCAGGAAGUAGAUUUAGCAGGCUGUCACUGGGAGAUACUGGAAGAAUCUACGAGAAACCAAUGUCUUCAGGAGACUACAGAGUCACCAGAAAACCAUACCUUCAAAACAUAACUUGGAUAGCAUUUUAUGUGAUUACUGGAAAUCAUUGUGGUCAUAGGGUACACGGAAGAAAUGCCUUGUGACAUAAAGACUAAAAUAAAGACCUGGUGGACAUUUGGCAACUUUAACCUGUCAGCACAUCUCAUAUCAAUUUCAGCACAUAUGACAAGAAGUGCAGCCUUGGGUAGUCCAUCAACAAACACAACUCAGACCCUUCUGGACACUUGAGAUGGAGGUUUUCAUCAGGACAACUUGAAAACUGUCUUUGUAUAAUCCAUAACUAUUCAUUAUUAUGGAUUUGGAUAUAGAGUCACUAAUAUUGGCAUUACAUAAAGAAACAAUGUAUA
Molecule: long non-coding RNA, 905 nt
Organism: Mesocricetus auratus (golden hamster)
Lineage: Eukaryota; Metazoa; Chordata; Mammalia; Rodentia; Cricetidae
Exons: 3
Source: RefSeq, a predicted model, not a curated record